GAUGAACGCUGGCGGCGUGCCUAAUACAUGCCAGUCGAGCGAACAGACGAGGAGCUUGCUCCUCUGACGUUAGCGGCGGACGGGUGAGUAACACGUGGAUAACCUACCUAUAAGACUGGGAUAACUUCGGGAAACCGGAGCUAAUACCGGAUAAUAUAUUGAACCGCAUGGUUCAAUAGUGAAAGACGGUUUAGCUGUCACUUAUAGAUGGAUCCGCGCCGCAUUAGCUAGUUGGUAAGGUAACGGCUUACCAAGGCAACGAUGCGUAGCCGACCUGAGAGGGUGAUCGGCCACACUGGAACUGAGACACGGUCCAGACUCCUACGGGAGGCAGCAGUAGGGAAUCUUCCGCAAUGGGCGAAAGCCUGACGGAGCAACGCCGCGUGAGUGAUGAAGGUCUUCGGAUCGUAAAACUCUGUUAUUAGGGAAGAACAAAUGUGUAAGUAACUAUGCACGUCUUGACGGUACCUAAUCAGAAAGCCACGGCUAACUACGUG
Molecule: ribosomal RNA, 497 nt
Filed under: uncultured bacterium
Lineage: Bacteria
Description: partial 16S ribosomal RNA
Rfam family: Bacterial small subunit ribosomal RNA
Source: RNAcentral